GCACAAGGAGUUAGAGAUUUGUUUUUUUUAAAGAUAGUUAGUUAUUUUAAUGUACGAUUUUUUUAGAUAAAAAGAAAGGGUCAUUAUUUUAUAAAGUUCUUAAAUUAUAGAUGGGGUUGUUAUGACGGGGACGUCCUAAAAUCGAUCGGGGACAUGUUAGGGACGUGUGUAGUACCUUAGAACUAGAAGUUAAGUUGAACCCCAGUAUGCUGCGUUAGUAGUAAUUAGAUUUGUAAAUAUGUGGAUUAAAAUGGUAAAUAAACCAUGUAAAUUUGCAAAUAUUCACCGUAACAUAAAGUGUCAUAAAGAUGAAUUAGGUGAGAACUUAUAUGAUUAAGAUGAAUUAAGUGAUCAUUUAUAUGAUUAAGAUCUGAUUGGAGAGAUUUGCAGAGCACUGCAUCCAUUGGUCAGAAAGGACAUUUAGUGUUAUUAGAAUUAUUUAUAAAGAAAUUAUUGGAUUAAUAAGAGUUAUUGAAUCCAUCAAUUAGUGGAACGGUAUUUUAACCAGUUUUAAAAACCUGUAUUUGAUUAUUAAACCUGUUUGUUUGCAAUAACCUGUUUGCAAUAACCUGUUUGUUUGCAACUCUCCUGGAUAACGCGUGGACCGCCUCUUCCACUGGAGCUCCUCUUCUACAGAACACCUAGACUACAAAAGAUGAACACACAAGAUUCUCACUGCCGUUAGCUGUAGCCGUCUGCCUUUAGCCUUUUCCCGAACGCCUCUCCUAUGAUUGGUUUUCCCUACACGGCCGGGAUGUUAGUAUGCUGCGCUCUCUCCCACGUCACUAGUUUCAUAAAUAGAAGUCACCAGAACAUUGCAAUUGGUUCCCGUCACUUCCGUAAAUUCCCGCUAAGCUAGGAAGUUUGUUGCUUGAGGUAAUAUUGUGGGUGAGCCCUAUCCUAACCUGCCUGUUUGUCCCAACCUUAGCAGCACCUACCUUAUUAUCUCGACAUUCCCCUCCCACGGAUUCUGCCCUCGUUGGCAGCAUUGAAGGAACGUAGCCAUGAUAUAGCAGCUACCUGUCCAUCGUCCAGAGAGAGAGUCAGCCAGCCCGUUAUAAUACACACCAGUUCCCAUUGAUCACCCAGCUACCCAACUGAUUUAGGGUAACGGACUUUACCAUGAGAUUGAACACUUAUUUUAUGUACGAUUGGAUUGGUCUUGCAUUAUUUUACAGUCCUUGA
This is a long non-coding RNA of Bolinopsis microptera, 1185 nucleotides long. RefSeq lists it as uncharacterized. The record is from RefSeq and is a predicted model, not a curated record. NCBI's taxonomy places the organism in Eukaryota, Metazoa, Ctenophora, Tentaculata, Lobata, Bolinopsidae. The transcript has 4 exons.